UUCGAAUUUAUACCUUUCUUUUUUUCUUGUCUGAAUGGGUCCUAAACUUCUAAUAUUUUUCAUAUAAAAAGGACAGAGAUUGUAGAUUUGGAGGUUCCUAUAGAAGAUACUUCGGUAACAUCAGCAUUUGCUGCAACUCAAGCACAUGGUAUGUAUAUUAAGAUGACAAAAAUGGUGCAGCCACUACUUAGUUAGUUUUUAGCUUUAUAUAUAAUAGUUUAGCAACUUUGGGUAACUUGAGUACGACACUAUCACUAAUAGUGAAAAUGUUUCUAUGA
Molecule: long non-coding RNA, 278 nt
Organism: Lycium ferocissimum
Lineage: Eukaryota; Viridiplantae; Streptophyta; Magnoliopsida; Solanales; Solanaceae
Exons: 2
Source: RefSeq, a predicted model, not a curated record